GAGAUCAUUGAUGCUUGUUAGGCUUUUGAUACUUCUUUCUUCCUCAGGGUAGAAACAUAUUGGAUCUCAGUUAGGCUUUUAAUACUUGCCUCCCCUGAUGUCUUCCACGUGAAACACUUGGUGGCCAGGCCUUAAAGCUUAUUCGCUAUUUUUCAUGGCCCUAUUGGAAGAUUCAGAUAUAGGUGCGCCACCGCUUAUGGAAUAUAUCACAUUCACUUGGCAUUGGUUACAGUUAUCCCUUGAAGGGUGAAGAAGGAAUCGAUCAAUUUUUCCUUCACACGCUAAAGCUUCAAUAUGAUCACGAAAGGUGAUACACUUCUCACUGUCAUGGCCGUUAUGCUCGUGGUAGCAGCAAAACGUGCCCAUAUUCUUCGUAGGCUUGUAACUCGACUGCCUCGGCAUUGGCUUCAGUAUCAAGUGU
RNAcentral lists this long non-coding RNA (421 nucleotides) under Malus domestica (apple). Its description in RNAcentral is "long non-coding RNA (MDOM_LNC021148)". The record is from RNAcentral. Lineage: Eukaryota; Viridiplantae; Streptophyta; Magnoliopsida; Rosales; Rosaceae.